Molecule: long non-coding RNA, 462 nt
Organism: Rhagoletis pomonella (apple maggot)
Lineage: Eukaryota; Metazoa; Arthropoda; Insecta; Diptera; Tephritidae
Exons: 3
Source: RefSeq, a predicted model, not a curated record
CACAAUAGCUUUUGUUUUGUAAUUAUUUCAUAUUUUUUUAUGCAGCUGCCUAUGACUGGCUCAAACUUUUUGAUUCGCCGUGGAGCACAGUUGAAUCAAAUUGGAAAAAAACCUUCAAAAUCAGACGACAAGAAAUUUUGAACUCAAGUGGUAGCACAUCAGCGAAAACUUUACGGGCCUGGAAACUUUUUUCCCAUUCAUGUGGAUACAAUCUGAUUGAUAUUGACUUCAAUGCUCUACAUCAGAAUUGCUCACAGCUAACAGAGAAAUGGCAAGGUUUUAGAACAAAAAUUAUACCAAUUUUGAAUAAGAGGGUAAAGGAUAUUCAAAAUCUUCAGCACUUGAAAAAAGUUAAUGAGAUUGAUAAAGGUUCAGAUCAACUUAUAGCAUUGUUACUGCACGUUGUACUACGACCUAAUAUAAAUCGGAAGGCAGGUGACAAAACGAUUUUUAGAAAUACUA